AAUGAACGCUGGCGGCAGGCCUAACACAUGCAAGUCGAACGGAUCCUUCGGGAUUAGUGGCGGACGGGUGAGUAAAGCGUGGGAACAUACCCUGUGGUACGGAAUAGCCUCGGGAAACUGGGAGUAAUACCGUAUGUGGUCGAGAGAAGAAAGAUUUAUCGCCAAAGGAUUGGCCCGCGUUGGAUUAGGUAGUUGGUGGGGUAAUGGCCUACCAAGCCGACGAUCCAUAGCUGGUUUGAGAGGAUGAUCAGCCACACUGGGACUGAGACACGGCCCAGACUCCUACGGGAGGCAGCAGUGGGGAAUCUUAGACAAUGGGGGAAACCCUGAUCUAGCCACGCCGCGUGAUCGAUGAAGGCCUUAGGGUUGUAAAGAUCUUUCAGGUGGGAAGAUAAUGACUGUACCACCAGAAGAAGCCCCGGCUAACUCCGUGCCAGCAGCCGCCGUAA
RNAcentral lists this ribosomal RNA (449 nucleotides) under uncultured bacterium. Its description in RNAcentral is "partial 16S ribosomal RNA". It matches the Rfam family "Bacterial small subunit ribosomal RNA", at positions 29 to 523 of the family's 1533-position model. The record is from RNAcentral.